GACGAACGCUGGCGGCGUGCUUAACACAUGCAAGUCGAACGGAAAGGCCCUGCUUUUGUGGGGUGCUCGAGUGGCGAACGGGUGAGUAACACGUGAGUAACCUGCCCUUGACUUUGGGAUAACUUCAGGAAACUGGGGCUAAUACCGGAUAGGAGCUCCUGCUGCAUGGUGGGGGUUGGAAAGUUUCGGCGGUUGGGGAUGGACUCGCGGCUUAUCAGCUUGUUGGUGGGGUAGUGGCUUACCAAGGCUUUGACGGGUAGCCGGCCUGGGAGGGUGACCGGCGACAUUGGGACUGGGAUACGGCCCAGACCCCUACGGGAGGCAGCAGUGGGGAAUAUUGCACAAUGGGCGGAAGCCUGAUGCAGCAACGCCGCGUGCGGGAUGAUGGCCUUCGGGUUGUAAACCGCUUUAGCCUGUGACGAAGCGUGAGCGACGGUAAUGGGUAAAGAAGCACCGGCUAACUACGUG
This 468-nucleotide ribosomal RNA is filed under the name uncultured bacterium. RNAcentral's name for it is "partial 16S ribosomal RNA". It matches the Rfam family "Bacterial small subunit ribosomal RNA", at positions 28 to 507 of the family's 1533-position model. The record is from RNAcentral.